Molecule: long non-coding RNA, 254 nt
Filed under: Mytilus galloprovincialis (Mediterranean mussel)
Lineage: Eukaryota; Metazoa; Mollusca; Bivalvia; Mytilida; Mytilidae
Source: RNAcentral
GUCCCCGUCUUUCCACCAACAAUACGGUAAGGUCCACGUUUAAUGGUCGCACAUUUUCUUUAAAUAAUGAAACUGAUAUAACUUGAAAAACAAACGGUAUUAUUUAUUUACUCACAUGAAACAAACCGGGGUGUGGUAUUCAGUACGUAGGAGAAACUGGACGAUAUUUAUCUAAACGCACUCAAGAACAUCUGUAUCGUUUUAAAAGACCCAAUAAAUUCAAAAGUAUCAUUUACCAACACCUUAAGAAGCAC